Molecule: ribosomal RNA, 403 nt
Filed under: uncultured bacterium
Lineage: Bacteria
Description: partial 16S ribosomal RNA
Rfam family: Bacterial small subunit ribosomal RNA
Source: RNAcentral
AUUGAACGCUGGCGGCAGGCCUAACACAUGCAAGUCGAGCGAGCGGCGGAAGGGUGAGGAAUGUAUGGGGACUGCCCGUUAGAGGGGGAUUACUACUGGAAGCGGUGGCUAAUACCGCAUACUGUCGAAUAACCCAUAUGGGAUUAGCUAGUAGGUAAGGGAAUGGCUUAACUAGGCGACGAUCCCUAGCUGGUCUGAGAGGAUGAUCAGCCACACUGGGACUGAGACACGGCCCAGACUCCUACGGAGGCAGCAGUGGGGAAUAUUGCACAAUGGGCGAAAGCCUGAUGCAGCCAUGCCGCGUGUAUGAAGAAGGCCCUAGGGUUGUAAAGUACUUUCAGUCGGGAGGCGUUACCGACAGAAGAAGCACCGGCUAACUCCGUGCCAGCAGCCGCGGUAAUAC